RNAcentral lists this long non-coding RNA (315 nucleotides) under Ricinus communis (castor bean). RNAcentral's name for it is "long non-coding RNA (RCOM_LNC002791)". Lineage: Eukaryota; Viridiplantae; Streptophyta; Magnoliopsida; Malpighiales; Euphorbiaceae. The record is from RNAcentral.
AUGGAUGCACAUAAUUAGUUGUCAUUUGGGAGUUACAAAAAUGAGUGACAUCAAUGUAAAAACAGCCACUUUUAAUAAGUUUUAAGGGGAAUUAAAGGGAAAAACGUGGGGAAGCUCAAAAGACAUCCAUUUAGGUUUCUUUGUCUUGUUUUGGCUAUAAAUAUCAAAGCCAAAUCCAUUUGUAAAGAUAGAAUUUUGAAUGAUAAUCUUUGUUUGCUCUUUGUGAGUGUUUUUGCUUAAGUUCUUGCAUGAAUUUUGAACUUAUCAAACUAUUUUUAGUUUGUGGCGUUCUCUAACCAAAAUCUUGUGUUUGAU